UACAGAGGUCCCGAGCGUUGUUCGGAUUCACUGGGCGUAAAGGGUGCGUAGGUGGUGGGGCAAGUCUGAUGUGAAAGCCCCGGGCCCAACCCGGGAAUGGCAUCGGAAACUGCCCGGCUAGGAGGGUUGGAGGGGGGACUGGAAUUCCCGGUGUAGCAGUGAAAUGCGUAGAUAUCGGGAGGAACGCCAGUGGCGAAGGCGAGUCCCUGGACAACACCUGACACUGAGGCACGAAAGCUUGGGGAGCAAACAGG
Molecule: ribosomal RNA, 254 nt
Filed under: uncultured bacterium
Lineage: Bacteria
Description: partial 16S ribosomal RNA
Rfam family: Bacterial small subunit ribosomal RNA
Source: RNAcentral